RNAcentral lists this ribosomal RNA (293 nucleotides) under uncultured bacterium. RNAcentral describes it as "partial 16S ribosomal RNA". It matches the Rfam family "Archaeal small subunit ribosomal RNA", at positions 455 to 747 of the family's 1478-position model. The record is from RNAcentral.
GUGCCAGCCGCCGCGGUAAUACCGGCAGCCCGAGUGAUGGCCGCUGUUAUUGGGCCUAAAGCGUCCGUAGCUGGCCGCACGAGUCCGUCGGGAAAUCCGCCCGCUCAACGGGCGGCCGUCCGGCGGAACCUGUGUGGCUUGGGACCGGGAGGCUCAGAGAGUACGUCCGGGGUAGGAGUGAAAUCCCGUAAUCCCGGACGGACUACCGAUGGCGAAAGCACUCUGAGAAGACGGCUUCGACAGUGAGGGACGAAAGCUAGGGUCUCAAACCGGAUUAGAUACCCCAGUAGUCC